This 727-nucleotide unclassified non-coding RNA is filed under the name Hevea brasiliensis (rubber tree). The record is from RNAcentral. Lineage: Eukaryota; Viridiplantae; Streptophyta; Magnoliopsida; Malpighiales; Euphorbiaceae.
CUUUUUGAUCCCAAAAAGAUGAAAAUAGAGCAAAAAGCAAUAGAUAACUAAUCUGAACUUGUCUACUAACUAACCUGAAUUUACAAAUCAAAAUCAAUAGGUGGUCUAACAUGAUUCUAUCAUGCAUAUGCUACCUUAAGACACGAAAAUAUUACAAGUGCUUAAGCCCAUGACAGCACAUGCAGAUGCUAUCCUCGUAAGAAAGGGGAAAAAAUGCUUAGACAAAUUUAGAUGCUUGAAAUUGGACUCCUCCAUCUGGUCCAAUCAUUCCCUUUUCAUCUACAACAUUCGGAAAUGCAGUGCACCAUCAUUAAUCUGGCUUCUUCAGGUUCAAGCAAUUAUCUGUUGCUUGGCUAAACAGCUCCUGGACCUGCUUCAAUUCUUUCUCUGCAGCUUCCAGUUGCCUUUGGAGUUCUUGGCCUACCGCAUCAUUUUCAGCCUGCAGUUCCGCAAUCCUUUUCAGUUGAGCUUCUUCACCUCCCUCGGCUAAUGGAAGUGCUGCCACCAAAGCAUCAAACUGCUUAGCAGCCUUUACAAGCGCAGCACUCAUCAACUUAGGUUGAUCUGCAAAAUCUUCAGUAGGGUUAGCUGGUGGUUCAGGGUAAUUUGGAGAGAGACGCACUGGAGGAGCAUCUCUUUGCAGCGUCCCAAUUGUAUUAAAAGCAAGUGAAGCAAUUAAAUCCACUUGCUCUUGCAAUUGAGAAAUUAUGUCCAUCUUUCUUAUACC